GUUAUACUCCCUUCGUCUCAAAAUUUUUGUCUUAGAUUUGUCGGAAUAGAUCCAUAUUCCGACAAAUCUAAGACAAAAAUUUUGGGACGGAGGGAGUAGUUC
Triticum aestivum (bread wheat) is the source of this 102-nucleotide non-coding RNA. Lineage: Eukaryota; Viridiplantae; Streptophyta; Magnoliopsida; Poales; Poaceae. The record is from Rfam.